CAGCCGCCACGGUAAAACGGGGGGAGCCAGCGUUGUUCGGAAUCACUGGGCGUAAAGCGCACGUAGGCGGCUAUUCAAGUCAGGGGUGAAGGCCCGGGGCUCAACCCCGGAACUGCCUUUGAAACUAGAUAGCUUGAAUCUUGGAGAGGCGAGUGGAAUUCCGAGUGUAGAGGUGAAAUUCGUAGAUAUUCGGAAGAACACCAGUGGCGAAGGCGACUCGCUGGACAAGUAUUGACGCUGAGGUGCGAAAGCGUGGGGAGCAAACAGGAUUAGAUACCCCUGUAGUCCCUGUCUCUUAUAC
Molecule: ribosomal RNA, 301 nt
Filed under: uncultured bacterium
Lineage: Bacteria
Description: partial 16S ribosomal RNA
Rfam family: Bacterial small subunit ribosomal RNA
Source: RNAcentral